CUACGGGUUGCACCAGCAGGGAAUAUUGCACAAUGGACGGAAGUCUGAUGCAGCGACGCCGCGUGGAUGAUGAAGGCCCUCGGGUUGUAAAAUCCUUUUCAGGGGGACGAGGAAGGACGGUACCCUUGGAAUAAGCGUCGGCUAACUACGUGCCAGCAGCCGCGGUAAGACGUAGGACGCAAGCGUUAUCCGGAUUUACUGGGCGUAAAGCGUCUGUAGGCGGAAUGGUAAGUUGGACGUGAAAGCUCCGGGCUCAACUCGGAGAGGUCGUUCAAUACUGCCAAACUAGAGGGCAUCAGAGGAGCGUGGAAUUUCCGAUGUAGCGGUAAAAUGCGCAGAUAUCGGAAGGAACACCAAUGGCGAAGGCAGCGCUCUGGGAUGAACCUGACGCUAAGAGACGAAAGCUAGGGGAGCGAACAGGAUUAGAUACCCGGGUAGUC
Molecule: ribosomal RNA, 440 nt
Filed under: uncultured bacterium
Lineage: Bacteria
Description: partial 16S ribosomal RNA
Rfam family: Bacterial small subunit ribosomal RNA
Source: RNAcentral